CCGCGCUAUGCGGGGAAGUAGCGGAGCCCUGAACCUGCAAUCCGCUGUAGCAGGGCAGAAGCCUGUAUUGCGGCUGGCAUUUGUGGGGUUUGCCCCUGGCAAGUAGCGAUGACAGUUGGGUCCGACGCAACAUGAACCCAUGAACCCCGUCAGGUCCGGAAGGAAGCAGCGGUAAGUGUGCAAGCGUGUGUGCCGUCGGGUAGCCUGAUUCGAGUUAACUACUAGGGUUAGCGACCGGAAGUGUUAGUCAAAGACAGGGCGCGG
RNAcentral lists this signal recognition particle RNA (264 nucleotides) under Selenomonadales bacterium. RNAcentral's name for it is "Bacterial large signal recognition particle RNA". It matches the Rfam family "Bacterial large signal recognition particle RNA". Rfam says of the family: The signal recognition particle (SRP) is a universally conserved ribonucleoprotein involved in the co-translational targeting of proteins to membranes. Archaeal SRP consists of a 7S RNA and homologues of the eukaryotic SRP19 and SRP54 proteins. The record is from Rfam by way of RNAcentral. Lineage: Bacteria; Bacillati; Bacillota; Negativicutes; Selenomonadales.